UUGAGCAUCAAACUUUUAAAUUGAAGAGUUUGAUCAUGGCUCAGAUUGAACGCUGGCGGCAGGCCUAACACAUGCAAGUCGAACGGUAACAGGAAGCAGCUUGCUGCUUUGCUGACGAGUGGCGGACGGGUGAGUAAUGUCUGGGAAACUGCCUGAUGGAGGGGGAUAACUACUGGAAACGGUGGCUAAUACCGCAUAACGUCGCAAGACCAAAGAGGGGGACCUUCGGGCCUCUUGCCAUCAGAUGUGCCCAGAUGGGAUUAGCUUGUUGGUGAGGUAACGGCUCACCAAGGCGACGAUCCCUAGCUGGUCUGAGAGGAUGACCAGCCACACUGGAACUGAGACACGGUCCAGACUCCUACGGGAGGCAGCAGUGGGGAAUAUUGCACAAUGGGCGCAAGCCUGAUGCAGCCAUGCCGCGUGUAUGAAGAAGGCCUUCGGGUUGUAAAGUACUUUCAGCGGGGAGGAAGGUGUUGUGGUUAAUAACCGCAGCAAUUGACGUUACCCGCAGAAGAAGCACCGGCUAACUCCGUGCCAGCAGCCGCGGUAAUACGGAGGGUGCAAGCGUUAAUCGGAAUUACUGGGCGUAAAGCGCACGCAGGCGGUCUGUCAAGUCGGAUGUGAAAUCCCCGGGCUCAACCUGGGAACUGCAUUCGAAACUGGCAGGCUUGAGUCUUGUAGAGGGNNNNNNNNNNNNNNNNNNNNGUGAAAUGCGUAGAGAUCUGGAGGAAUACCGGUGGCGAAGGCGGCCCCCUGGACAAAGACUGACGCUCAGGUGCGAAAGCGUGGGGAGCAAACAGGAUUAGAUACCCUGGUAGUCCACGCCGUAAACGAUGUCUACUUGGAGGUUGUGCCCUUGAGGCGUGGCUUCCGGAGCUAACGCGUUAAGUAGACCGCCUGGGGAGUACGGCCGCAAGGUUAAAACUCAAAUGAAUUGACGGGGGCCCGCACAAGCGGUGGAGCAUGUGGUUUAAUUCGAUGCAACGCGAAGAACCUUACCUGGUCUUGACAUCCACGGAAGUUUUCAGAGAUGAGAAUGUGCCUUCGGGAACCGUGAGACAGGUGCUGCAUGGCUGUCGUCAGCUCGUGUUGUGAAAUGUUGGGUUAAGUCCCGCAACGAGCGCAACCCUUAUCCUUUGUUGCCAGCGGUCCGGCCGGGAACUCAAAGGAGACUGCCAGUGAUAAACUGGAGGAAGGUGGGGAUGACGUCAAGUCAUCAUGGCCCUUACGACCAGGGCUACACACGUGCUACAAUGGCGCAUACAAAGAGAAGCGACCUCGCGAGAGCAAGCGGACCUCAUAAAGUGCGUCGUAGUCCGGAUUGGAGUCUGCAACUCGACUCCAUGAAGUCGGAAUCGCUAGUAAUCGUGGAUCAGAAUGCCACGGUGAAUACGUUCCCGGGCCUUGUACACACCGCCCGUCACACCAUGGGAGUGGGUUGCAAAAGAAGUAGGUAGCUUAACCUUCGGGAGGGCGCUUACCACUUUGUGAUUCAUGACUGGGGUGAAGUCGUAACAAGGUAACCGUAGGGGAACCUGCGGUUGGAUCACCUCCUUACCUUAAAGAAGCGUACUUUGCAGUGCUCACACAGAUUGUCUGAUGAAAA
This 1606-nucleotide ribosomal RNA is filed under the name Salmonella enterica subsp. enterica serovar Paratyphi A. RNAcentral describes it as "bacterial SSU rRNA". It matches the Rfam family "Bacterial small subunit ribosomal RNA". The record is from RNAcentral. Lineage: Bacteria; Pseudomonadati; Pseudomonadota; Gammaproteobacteria; Enterobacterales; Enterobacteriaceae.